GACGUAGGGCGCGAGCGUUGUCCGGAUUUAUUGGGCGUAAAGAGCUCGUAGGCGGCUUGUCGCGUCGUCCGUGAAAACCCACAGCUCAACUGUGGGCUUGCGGUCGAUACGGGCAGGCUAGAGUUCGGUAGGGGAGACUGGAAUUCCUGGUGUAGCGGUGAAAUGCGCAGAUAUCAGGAGGAACACCGGUGGCGAAGGCGGUUCUCUGGGCCGAUACUGACGCUGAGGAGCGAAAGCGUGGGGAGCGAACAGG
This 253-nucleotide ribosomal RNA is filed under the name uncultured bacterium. RNAcentral's name for it is "partial 16S ribosomal RNA". It matches the Rfam family "Bacterial small subunit ribosomal RNA", at positions 524 to 776 of the family's 1533-position model. The record is from RNAcentral.